This 211-nucleotide ribosomal RNA is filed under the name uncultured Bacteroides sp. RNAcentral's name for it is "partial 16S ribosomal RNA". It matches the Rfam family "Bacterial small subunit ribosomal RNA", at positions 332 to 529 of the family's 1533-position model. The record is from RNAcentral. Lineage: Bacteria; Pseudomonadati; Bacteroidota; Bacteroidia; Bacteroidales; Bacteroidaceae.
UUUACUCGUACGGGAGGCAGCAAUUAGGAAUAUUGGUCAAUGGGCGCGAUCCUGAACCAGCCAAGUCCGCGUGGAAGGAUGACUGCCCUAUGGGUUGUAAACUUCUUUUAUAUUGAAAUAAAGUGUCAGUAUGUAUAGCUGUUUUGUAUGUAUAAUAUCAAUAAAGAUCGCCUAGACUCCAUAGCCAUCACCCGACGGCUAAUACAAUACA